ACAAUAGCAUCAGUGUGAAUCCAGCUGGAUCUCUGAAACAAAUCAACUGUACUUGGUUUGCAAGAAAAGGAUCUUGGCUGUCAGAAUGUACUGGUCAAACUGGAAUCUGGCUAUAUUUAGGGGGGUAAAACAGCUAUAGCAAAGUCAGGUACUGAAGUGCUGUUUUUCUAAACUUUUUAAUGGGAAGUGAUUGUUUUUAGCACUCUGACCUUUCCAGAAUUCCCUUGCAACAGUAAAAAAAAAAUAAGACAUUGACAAUAGAUGUUGAUAUUCAAAAAGUUAAAGCUUUAAAACCCAAAUCAACAUCCCAUCAAAAGUAAAUAUCCUUAAAUCAAAACUAAGUUCUAAAGCAGCACUUCUCUUCUCUGUAAAUUAGGAUGAAAUUAACAUUUACUGACAAUCUUAUCUUUCCAAGCCUAUUUUACUUAUAGGAUCUCAUGCCAUUUUUAAGUUACAUUUCAAAGUGUAGGCCUGCAGGUUCCUCUCUCAAACAGGUCAAAAACCUUUGAGUUUAGGAAAGGUAAGGGCUCCUACAUAUUGUAUGAUGUGGGUACAUCAACUAUUUUAGACCAUAUUAACACAGCAGCAGGGGUUGUGCAUUAAUCUAACAGGAGCAGCUGAAAUGAAAAUGUAGUGCUUACUGACCAACAAACCUGUACUCCAACUUUUUUUAAAGCUGAGUUGGCAGUCAAACACCCUUCUAAAAAUGUGGCUGAAAUCUUAUUUUCUGUUUUAAAAGUUGGACAUCACUGGCAGCUUCAGGUCAGACACAAGUAGAAGACAAACUGAUUCACAAGCAAUAAUGUAGUUUAUACAAAAUCAUAAUCACCAGAAACCUCCAUUUAAUGAGAAUGUACUUCAAAGACCACAGUAAUGGAGUUAUUCCCAUGUGUUCACAAAUACAAUUCCAACUGUUAAGGGCCAUUCACUUUGUAAAGGGUUUGUAGGGAACUCGGUGCAUGUCAGUCACGUAUGGUAGCUCCAGUGAUUUUUUUUGGGGGGGGGGGGGGAGGGGAGGAAAGGUGGGCAUAGGCAUUAAUUUUUAAAUGAGAGAACAGAUUGCCUAUGGCUCCUUCAAUCUCCAGCAGCAGUUCAAAGAAAUGCAGCCUUAACUGGUGCUGUCCCCUUAGGAGCAAGAGCCAGUCUUUCAACUCUGCAUCUAACAGCUAGAGAAAUUUUGUGAACACCACUAGCCUGAAAAAAUGAAAACAUUCCUUUCACUCACUUUAUGCACAUGUGAGGCCCUACUUGAACCUUACUGUGGUUAAAAACAGAGCUCCUACCACAAACCUAAUUAGGAUUGUGUGACAUUUUGCAAUUCAUGACAGACUUUAAAAAGGCACAUUAAGUGUGAAUAGAACAGCACCUUAACUUCACCUACCACAGAGCUUCUACACAAUUUCCCCUGCUUUUCUAUGCAUUCCCUAAGACAUGCCUCAGUUGUGGGUCUAGUCUGAUGUCUAUCAGUGAAAAGGUAACAGACUUGAUUCAAUUAUGAUAGUCACAGGUGUUAAGACUUACAGCACUAAAGAAAAUUGCAAUUAUUAAAAGGGCAUGUUCCUAUCUGAAAA
Long non-coding RNA from Dermochelys coriacea (leatherback sea turtle), 1571 nucleotides. RefSeq lists it as uncharacterized. NCBI's taxonomy places the organism in Eukaryota, Metazoa, Chordata, Testudines, Dermochelyidae. The transcript has 2 exons. The record is from RefSeq and is a predicted model, not a curated record.